Molecule: ribosomal RNA, 90 nt
Filed under: Klebsiella aerogenes
Lineage: Bacteria; Pseudomonadati; Pseudomonadota; Gammaproteobacteria; Enterobacterales; Enterobacteriaceae
Also listed under: 2 other names
Source: RNAcentral
CCUGGCGGCGAUAGCGCGGUGGUCCCACCUGACCCCAUGCCGAACUCAGAAGUGAAACGCCGUAGCGCCGAUGGUAGUGUGGGGUCUCCC